AUUGAACGCUGGCGGCAUGCCUUACACAUGCAAGUCGAACGGUAACAGGUUAAGCUGACGAGUGGCGAACGGGUGAGUAAUGUAUCGGAACGUGCCCAGUCGUGGGGGAUAACUGCUCGAAAGAGCAGCUAAUACCGCAUACGACCUGAGGGUGAAAGCGGGGGAUCGCAAGACCUCGCGCGAUUGGAGCGGCCGAUAUCAGAUUAGGUAGUUGGUGAGGUAAAGGCUCACCAAGCCGACGAUCUGUAGCUGGUCUGAGAGGACGACCAGCCACACUGGGACUGAGGCACGGCCCAGACUCCUACGGGAGGCAGCAGUGGGGAAUUUUGGACAAUGGGCGCAAGCCUGAUCCAGCCAUGCCGCGUGCGGGAAGAAGGCCUUCGGGUUGUAAACCGCUUUUGUCAGGGAAGAAAAGGUUCUGGCUAAUACCUGGGACUCAUGACGGUACCUGAAGAAUAAGCACCGGCUAACUACGUG
This 477-nucleotide ribosomal RNA is filed under the name uncultured bacterium. Its description in RNAcentral is "partial 16S ribosomal RNA". It matches the Rfam family "Bacterial small subunit ribosomal RNA", at positions 30 to 507 of the family's 1533-position model. The record is from RNAcentral.